Long non-coding RNA from Bactrocera neohumeralis, 676 nucleotides. RefSeq lists it as uncharacterized. The transcript has 2 exons. The record is from RefSeq and is a predicted model, not a curated record. Lineage: Eukaryota; Metazoa; Arthropoda; Insecta; Diptera; Tephritidae.
AUUAUAAUAUAUUCCAAAAAAACUACAUAGUGCAUAAUGCGAUUUUAAUUUUGUUGCGGUUUUUGUUACCGUUAUUCGAAAAAUGUAUUAAAAUUAUUCUCAUAUGAAACUACAAAAAAUACAGUUUAACAUAGACAAAUUCAUUGCCAGUGUUUUAAAAGAACAGUAUUUUUUCACAAUUAAAAGAAAGGCAAACAGGCCGCUUAUCAUCUGUCAAAGAAUUCACCUACACAUAGUGAAACAUACUAAUUAAUUAAUUUAAACGAAUUAUUGCUUUGAUUGGAGUGUUACAACAGCGGUGGCGAUAAAUGACAGCACAGACAAAACGAUUGGUGUUUAAAAUACAAAAGCAACAAAAUCUACAAAAAGAAAAUGUCAAAUUGAAAUCUUUCUGCUUCAUAAUAAUUACAUGAAUAGUUGUUGUGUUGUUGCAUACCCCAGUGGGCGAAUAAUAAGAAAACGGAGAACAAGAAACAGCUGUCUAGCAGUGUUGUAAAGGAACACAAAAAACGCACGUGAUAGAUGUAAUAUAUAUCGAAAUUUUUGUAUAUCCUUUAUGAAUACUGUCUGUUUACAAAAUUAUACAUACAAUGUUAAAAUAUUUAUAAUAUGAUUGUAAACAUUAAAAUAAUUAUUAUUACAGAAUAAAAAUUGUGACUAAUGCUAGCUGUUUAAA